GUCUCUGUGGCGCAAUCGGUUAGCAUGUUUGGCUGUUAACUUAAAGGUUUGGUGGUUCAAGCCCACCAAGGGACA
This 75-nucleotide transfer RNA is filed under the name Danio rerio (zebrafish). It matches the Rfam family "tRNA". From Rfam's summary of the family: Transfer RNA (tRNA) molecules are approximately 80 nucleotides in length. Their secondary structure includes four short double-helical elements and three loops (D, anti-codon, and T loops). The record is from Rfam by way of RNAcentral. Lineage: Eukaryota; Metazoa; Chordata; Actinopteri; Cypriniformes; Danionidae.